Molecule: ribosomal RNA, 248 nt
Filed under: uncultured bacterium
Lineage: Bacteria
Description: partial 16S ribosomal RNA
Rfam family: Bacterial small subunit ribosomal RNA
Source: RNAcentral
UCCAACCUACGGGGGGCAGCAGUGGGGGAUAUUGCACAAUGGGGGGAACCCUGAUGCAGCGACGCCGCGUGGGUGAAGAAGCGUUUCGGCGCGUAAAGCCCUGUCAGCAGGGAAGAAGAUGACGGUACCUGACCAAGAAGCCCCGGCUAACUACGUGCCAGCAGCCGCGGUACUACGUAGGGGGCAAGCGUUAUCCGGAUUUACUGGGUGUAAAGGGGGCGCAGACGGCGAUGCAAGCCAGGAGUGAA